AACAUACACCAAGGCACAUCCCCUUGAAUAUGACGGGUAAGAGCAUCUAUCACUAAUGCAAAGAAGAGGGGGCUCAGCGCCGAUCCUUGAUGGAGCCCUGUAACCACUGAAAAAUGGCCUGAAUCGCCACCCACCGUCCUAACCCUAGUCUUAGCUCCAUUGUACAUGUCCUUGAUUACUCUGAUGUAGGCUUCCGGCACGCUCUUCGNN
This 210-nucleotide long non-coding RNA is filed under the name Nicotiana benthamiana. Its description in RNAcentral is "long non-coding RNA (NBEN_LNC004058)". Lineage: Eukaryota; Viridiplantae; Streptophyta; Magnoliopsida; Solanales; Solanaceae. The record is from RNAcentral.